Molecule: transfer RNA, 72 nt
Filed under: Ictidomys tridecemlineatus (thirteen-lined ground squirrel)
Lineage: Eukaryota; Metazoa; Chordata; Mammalia; Rodentia; Sciuridae
Also listed under: 1 other name
Description: Spermophilus tridecemlineatus (thirteen-lined ground squirrel) tRNA
Rfam family: tRNA
About the family: Transfer RNA (tRNA) molecules are approximately 80 nucleotides in length. Their secondary structure includes four short double-helical elements and three loops (D, anti-codon, and T loops).
Source: Rfam by way of RNAcentral
UGGGGUAUAGCUCAGUGGUAGAGUGCUUGCCUAGCAUGCACAAGGCCCUGGGUUCCAUCCCCAGCACCUCCC